This 1000-nucleotide ribosomal RNA is filed under the name Lactiplantibacillus sp. Its description in RNAcentral is "bacterial SSU rRNA". It matches the Rfam family "Bacterial small subunit ribosomal RNA", at positions 32 to 994 of the family's 1533-position model. Lineage: Bacteria; Bacillati; Bacillota; Bacilli; Lactobacillales; Lactobacillaceae. The record is from RNAcentral.
CCCGGUGGGGGGGGUGCUAUACAUGCAAGUCGAACGAACUCUGGUAUUGAUUGGUGCUUGCAUCAUGAUUUACAUUUGAGUGAGUGGCGAACUGGUGAGUAACACGUGGGAAACCUGCCCAGAAGCGGGGGAUAACACCUGGAAACAGAUGCUAAUACCGCAUAACAACUUGGACCGCAUGGUCCGAGCUUGAAAGAUGGCUUCGGCUAUCACUUUUGGAUGGUCCCGCGGCGUAUUAGCUAGAUGGUGGGGUAACGGCUCACCAUGGCAAUGAUACGUAGCCGACCUGAGAGGGUAAUCGGCCACAUUGGGACUGAGACACGGCCCAAACUCCUACGGGAGGCAGCAGUAGGGAAUCUUCCACAAUGGACGAAAGUCUGAUGGAGCAACGCCGCGUGAGUGAAGAAGGGUUUCGGCUCGUAAAACUCUGUUGUUAAAGAAGAACAUAUCUGAGAGUAACUGUUCAGGUAUUGACGGUAUUUAACCAGAAAGCCACGGCUAACUACGUGCCAGCAGCCGCGGUAAUACGUAGGUGGCAAGCGUUGUCCGGAUUUAUUGGGCGUAAAGCGAGCGCAGGCGGUUUUUUAAGUCUGAUGUGAAAGCCUUCGGCUCAACCGAAGAAGUGCAUCGGAAACUGGGAAACUUGAGUGCAGAAGAGGACAGUGGAACUCCAUGUGUAGCGGUGAAAUGCGUAGAUAUAUGGAAGAACACCAGUGGCGAAGGCGGCUGUCUGGUCUGUAACUGACGCUGAGGCUCGAAAGUAUGGGUAGCAAACAGGAUUAGAUACCCUGGUAGUCCAUACCGUAAACGAUGAAUGCUAAGUGUUGGAGGGUUUCCGCCCUUCAGUGCUGCAGCUAACGCAUUAAGCAUUUCCGCCUGGGGAGUACGGCCGCAAGGCUGAAACUCAAAGGAAUUGACGGGGGCCCGCACAAGCGGUUGGAGCAUGUGGUUUAAUUCGAAGCUACGCGAAGAACCCUUACCAGGUCUUGACAUACUAUGC